UACAGAGGUCUCAAGCGUUGUUCGGAUUCAUUGGGCGUAAAGGGCGCGUAGGCGGCGAGGUAAGUCUGGUGUGAAAUCUAGGAGCUUAACUCCGAAACUGCAUUCGAUACUGCCGUGCUUGAGGACUGGAGAGGAGACUGGAAUUUACGGUGUAGCGGUGAAAUGCGUAGAUAUCGUAAGGAAGACCAGUGGCGAAGGCGGGUCUCUGGACAGUUCCUGACGCUGAGGCACGAAGGCCAGGGGAGCAAACGGG
Molecule: ribosomal RNA, 253 nt
Filed under: uncultured bacterium
Lineage: Bacteria
Description: partial 16S ribosomal RNA
Rfam family: Bacterial small subunit ribosomal RNA
Source: RNAcentral